Molecule: long non-coding RNA, 235 nt
Filed under: Panax ginseng (ginseng)
Lineage: Eukaryota; Viridiplantae; Streptophyta; Magnoliopsida; Apiales; Araliaceae
Description: long non-coding RNA (PGIN_LNC003243)
Source: RNAcentral
UAUAUAUAUAUAUAUAUAUAUAUAUAUAUUGAUCUUAUGUUAUAGAGAUAGAUAGAUCUUGAUUAGUUAGGGAGGGAUCGGAGAAGAUGAACAUGUGUGUGGUGUGAAGAAAUCACCGGAAAACAGCGAUAUUAUUUUGAGAGAGACAGAGAGAGAAUUGGAAGAGUGGUUUUGUAUAUAUGUAUACAUAUAUAUUUGCGAGUAUAUAUUACUACGUACUCGAGAGAGAGAUAUU